This is a non-coding RNA of Odocoileus virginianus texanus, 197 nucleotides long. NCBI's taxonomy places the organism in Eukaryota, Metazoa, Chordata, Mammalia, Artiodactyla, Cervidae. The record is from RefSeq and is a predicted model, not a curated record.
AAGAAAAGAAAAAAAUUGUUGAUAAGGCUCAAAGAUAACCUCUAUUAAUAGACUUUCCUAUUUACAGGAACACUCUUGGGAUUACAAGAGGAAGAAACUAAACUUGGACCCUGACCUUAAUUCUGACCUCGUGAUUCUUCAUAGAUAUUCUAUGACUCUCUUUUUAUUAUAAAGAUUUCUUGGUAAUGUUCCCAGAA